RNAcentral lists this ribosomal RNA (658 nucleotides) under uncultured bacterium. RNAcentral describes it as "partial 16S ribosomal RNA". It matches the Rfam family "Bacterial small subunit ribosomal RNA", at positions 1 to 644 of the family's 1533-position model. The record is from RNAcentral.
UUUCGCCGCGAAUUCGCCCUUAGAGUUUGAUUAUGGCUCAAGAUAAACGCUGGCGGCAUGCCUAACACAUGCAAGUCGAACGGGGUUUAUAUGAUGGAACUCUCCGGAGGGAAGACAUGUAAACCUAGUGGCGGACGGGUGAGUAACGCGUGGGGAACCUGCCCUGUACCGGGGGACAACAGCCAGAAAUGGCUGCUAAUACCGCAUAAUCCUGCGCUGCCGCAUGGCAGCGCAGGGAAAACUCCGGUGGUACAGGAUGGUCCCGCGUCUGAUUAGCUUGUUGGCGGGGUAACGGCCCACCAAGGCGACGAUCAGUAGCCGGCUUGAGAGAGCGGACGGCCACAUUGGGACUGAGACACGGCCCAGACUCCUGCGGGAGGCAGCAGUGGGGAAUAUUGCACAAUGGGGGGAACCCUGAUGCAGCAAUGCCGCGUGGGUGAAGAAGUACCCCGGUAUGUAAAGCCCUGUCAGCAGGGAAGAAAAUGACGGUACCUGACUAAGAAGCCCCGGCUAACUACGUGCCAGCAGCCGCGGUAAUACGUAGGGGGCGAGCGUUAUCCGGAUUUACUGGGUGUAAAGGGAGCGCAAGCGGCGUGGCAAGUCAGAUGUGAAAACCCGGGGCCCAACCCCGGGACUGCAUUUGAAACUGCCAUGCUGG